Molecule: ribosomal RNA, 304 nt
Filed under: uncultured bacterium
Lineage: Bacteria
Description: partial 16S ribosomal RNA
Rfam family: Bacterial small subunit ribosomal RNA
Source: RNAcentral
CAGCAGCCGCCGCGGUAAUACGUAGGUGGCAAGCGUUGUCCGGAGUUAUUGGGCGUAAAGGGCUCGCAGGCGGUUUCUUAAGUCUGAUGUGAAAGCCCCCGGCUCAACCGGGGAGGGUCAUUGGAAACUGGGAAACUCGAGUGCAGAAGAGGAGAGUGGAAUUCCACGUGUAGCGGUGAAAUGCGUAGAGAUGUGGAAGAACACCAGUGGCGAAGGCGACUCUCUGGUCUGUAACUGACGCUGAGGAGCGAAAGCGUGGGGAGCGAACAGGAUUAGAUACCCCUGUAGUCCCUGUCUCUUAUAA